Long non-coding RNA from Octopus sinensis (East Asian common octopus), 256 nucleotides. RefSeq lists it as uncharacterized. The transcript is spliced from 4 exons. The record is from RefSeq and is a predicted model, not a curated record. NCBI's taxonomy places the organism in Eukaryota, Metazoa, Mollusca, Cephalopoda, Octopoda, Octopodidae.
CCUCUUCUAGUUUCUUAACCAAGUCUCCCUCUACUCUAUUUCGAUCUAUCGCUAAUUCCUUGCUAAACCUAAUUGAUUCCGAUUUUAUUGCCAUUUUCAGGGCGAACCACCUGCGGUUGUUAACGAUGGCUCUCGCCAACGCCCUCUUAAUUAACUCGCUAAUCCGGUUCCUGUAAACCUGUCGCGCUAAGAGCGACGUGUUCAGUUUCCAAAGACAGGCCGACAUACGAUAGAUAGAUAGAUAGAUAGAUAGAUA